Molecule: transfer RNA, 75 nt
Filed under: Dipodomys ordii (Ord's kangaroo rat)
Lineage: Eukaryota; Metazoa; Chordata; Mammalia; Rodentia; Heteromyidae
Rfam family: tRNA
About the family: Transfer RNA (tRNA) molecules are approximately 80 nucleotides in length.
Source: Rfam by way of RNAcentral
UGGGAUGUAGCUCAGUGGCAAAGCAUUUGCCUAGCAAGCAACACCAACGUCCUGGGUUCGAUUCCCAAAUACCAA